CGGUCGUAGUACUCAAGAGAGUUUUGUACUCCUGGCGUACAGGACGAACGCUGGCGGCGUGCUUAACACAUGCAAGUCGAACGAAGUGAAGACCUUAGCUUGCUAGGUGGAUUAGUGGCGAACGGGUGAGUAAUACGUGAGUAACCUACCUUUAACGUCUGGGAUAAGCCUGGGAAACUGGGUCUAAUACCGGAUACGCCAAUCUCCGCAUGGGGUGUUGGUGGAAAGCGUUAUGUAGUGGUUAUAGAUGGGCUCACGGCCUAUCAGCUUGUUGGUGAGGUAACGGCUCACCAAGGCGACGACGGGUAGCCGGCCUGGGAGGGUGACCGGCCACACUGGGACUGAGACACGGCCCAGACUCCUACGGGAGGCAGCAGUGGGGAAUAUUGCACAAUGGGCGCAAGCCUGAUGCAGCGACGCCGCGUGAGGGAUGACGGCCUUCGGGUUGUAAACCUCUGUUAGCAGGGAAGAAGAGAGAUUGACGGUACCUGCAGAGAAAGCGCCGGCUAACUACGUG
RNAcentral lists this ribosomal RNA (517 nucleotides) under uncultured Rothia sp. Its description in RNAcentral is "bacterial SSU rRNA". It matches the Rfam family "Bacterial small subunit ribosomal RNA", at positions 1 to 507 of the family's 1533-position model. The record is from RNAcentral. Lineage: Bacteria; Bacillati; Actinomycetota; Actinomycetes; Micrococcales; Micrococcaceae.